Molecule: ribosomal RNA, 497 nt
Filed under: uncultured bacterium
Lineage: Bacteria
Description: partial 16S ribosomal RNA
Rfam family: Bacterial small subunit ribosomal RNA
Source: RNAcentral
GAUGAACGCUGGCGGCGUGCCUAAUACAUGCAAGUCGAGCGAACAGACGAGGAGCUUGCUCCUCUGACGUUAGCGGCGGACGGGUGAGUAACACGUGGAUAACCUACCUAUAAGACUGGGAUAACUUCGGGAAACCGGAGCUAAUACCGGAUAAUAUAUUGAACCGCAUGGUUCAAUAGUGAAAGACGGUUUUGCUGUCACUUAUAGAUGGAUCCGCGCCGCAUUAGCUAGUUGGUAAGGUAACGGCUUACCAAGGCAACGAUGCGUAGCCGACCUGAGAGGGUGAUCGCCCACACUGGAACUGAGACCCGGUCCAGACUCCUACGGGAGGCAGCAGUAGGGAAUCUUCCGCAAUGGGCGAAAGCCUGACGGAGCACCGCCGCGUGAGUGAUGAAGGUCUUCGGAUCGUAAAACUCUGUUAUUAGGGAAGAACAAAUGUGUAAGUAACUAUGCACGUCUUGACGGUACCUAAUCAGAAAGCCACGGCUAACUACGUG